AUUGAACGCUGGCGGCAGGCCUAACACAUGCAAGUCGAACGAGUGGCGGACGGGUGAGUAAUGUCUGGGAAACUGCCUGAUGGAGGGGGAUAACUACUGGAAACGGUAGCUAAUACCGCAUACCAUCAGAUGUGCCCAGAUGGGAUUAGCUUGUUGGUGGGGUAACGGCUCACCAGGGCGACGCUCCCUAGCUGGUCUGAGAGGAUGACCAGCCACACUGUAGCUGGGAAACGGGCCUGACUCCUACGGGAGCCAGCGGUGGGGAAUAUUGCACAAUGGGCGCAAGCCCGAUGCAUCCAUGCCGUGUGUAUGAAGAGGGCCUUCGGGUUGUAAAGUAAUUUCAGCGGGGAGGCGUUACCUGCAGAGGAAGCACCGGCUAACUCCGUGCCAGCAGCCGCGGUAAUUC
RNAcentral lists this ribosomal RNA (406 nucleotides) under uncultured bacterium. RNAcentral's name for it is "partial 16S ribosomal RNA". It matches the Rfam family "Bacterial small subunit ribosomal RNA", at positions 30 to 526 of the family's 1533-position model. The record is from RNAcentral.